CCCUUAGACGUUCUGGGCCGCACGCGCGCUACACUGACCAGUGCAACAAGCAUCCGUCCUUGGCCGACAGGCUCGGACAAUCUUUGAACGCUGGUCGUGAUGGGGAUAGACUUUUGCAAUUUUUGGUCUUCAACGAGGAAUUCCUAGUAAACGCGAGUCAUCAACUCGCAUUGAUUACGUCCCUGCCCUUUGUACACACCGCCCGUCGCACCUACUGAUUGAAUGACUCGGUGAAAAAUUGGGACUGUGAAAACAAUUGAUUCAGUUCAAAUGUAUUCGUGGAAACUUUUUUUAACCUCGUUAUUUAGAAGAAGGUGAAGUCGUAACA
This 328-nucleotide ribosomal RNA is filed under the name uncultured eukaryote. RNAcentral describes it as "partial 18S ribosomal RNA". It matches the Rfam family "Eukaryotic small subunit ribosomal RNA", at positions 1470 to 1796 of the family's 1831-position model. The record is from RNAcentral.